Molecule: ribosomal RNA, 440 nt
Filed under: uncultured bacterium
Lineage: Bacteria
Description: partial 16S ribosomal RNA
Rfam family: Bacterial small subunit ribosomal RNA
Source: RNAcentral
CCUACGGGUGGCAGCAGUGGGGAAUAUUGCACAAUGGGGGAAACCCUGAUGCAGCGACGCCGCGUGAGUGAAGAAGUAUCUCGGUACGUAAAGCUCUAUCAGCAGGGAAGAAAAUGACGGUACCUGACUAAGAAGCCACGGCUAACUACGGGCCAGCAGCCGCGGUAAUACGUAGGGUGCAAGCGUUAUCCGGAUUGACUGGGUGUAAAGGGAGCGUAGAGGGCAGCACAAGUCUGGAGUGAAAUCCCGGGGCUUAACCCCGGAACUGCUGUGGAAACUGUGCGGCUGGAGUGCAGGAGGGGUAAGCGGAAUUCGUGGUGUAGCGGUGAAAUGCGUAGAUAUUAGGAGGAACACCGGUGGCGAAGGCGGCUUACUGGACUGUAACUGACGUUGAGGCUCGAAAGCGUGGGGAGCAAACAGGAUUAGAUACCCGUGUAGUC